AAAAGCUCACAGCAUACCACAGUUCCCAAUGACUGCAUCUUUUUUGGCUUUUUCUUAUCUAAUGGGAACAGAAUGAACUGGAUCAGGGUUUCUCUAACAAUGUUGGAGAGGAAGUCAGGUUUAUUUAAAAUUUAACUUCUUUUGGCUCUGUUACCACUGGCCUUGGCUGAGCCAUGGCUCGAGGGCAUCCGAAAGCAAUGAGAUCUGGGCAUGGUUUCCAGGAGAGUCCCUGGGAGCAACAGUGAAGUGUCCCUGAACUUGUCAUCAUGGAAAUUACAGUGGCCUUGAGGGUUAAUCACUGAAGUCAGCAUGUAAAGCUGGGUCUGCGUCUGUGUUGCUCCCUCUGUCUCUGCAGAUCCCACACAGCCAAGACACAGAGCAGGUGCUCAGUGUGGAAUAAACAAAGGAAAGUGGGCAGAAAGAUUUACAGUCACCUUGAGGAGACGGUUUGACCUCAUUGCAGAGACAUUAACAGAGCCAAAGAAAGGGUGUGCAGCUUCUCAGGAGAUUUGUUGCUAUUAUAGUAAGAAAGGUUUGGAAAAGAGUGUGAGCAUCUUAAAAGUUACAAUAAUUAAAGCGUGUUAGCUCAGAAACUGAAGACAAAGAAGUAGAGUGGAAUUGAAUUCACAAAUAGACCUAAACACAUAAGAAAAUCUGGUGUACGAUAAGGGUGGCAUUUCACAUAUGUAGGGGGAAACUACAUGUUGAUGAGCCUUCUGGAAAAAAGCCCAACUGAAUCUCUAACUUACUGCAUGCACUGAAAUAAAUUCCAGAUGGAUUAAGUAUGCAUAGGUAAAAAACAAAACCAUAAACAUGCUAGAAGAAAAUAUCAGAGAAUGUUUUCCUAAUCAUGGAGUGGAGAAAAUCUUUCUAAAAUAUGACACAAAUCCCAGAAGUUUUCAAGGAAAAGAUGGUCAGGCUGGGCGUGGUAGCUCACGUCUGUAAUCCCAGCACUUUGGGAGGCUGAGGCUAGUGGAUCACCUGAGUUCGGGAGUUCGAGACCAGCCUGACCAACAUGGAGAAACCCUGUUUCUACUAAAAAUACAAAAAUUAGCCGGGUGUGGUGGUACAUGCCUGUCAUCCCAGCUACUCAGGAGGCUGAGGCAGGCAGGAGAAUCCCUUGAACCAGGGAGGCGGAAGUUGCAGUGAGCAGAGAUCGCGCCAUUACACUGUAGUCUGGGCAACACGAGUGAAACUCCAUCUCAAAAAAAAAAAAAAAAAAAAA
RNAcentral lists this long non-coding RNA (1225 nucleotides) under Macaca fascicularis (crab-eating macaque). RNAcentral's name for it is "lncRNA (ENSMFAG00000065716.1)". Lineage: Eukaryota; Metazoa; Chordata; Mammalia; Primates; Cercopithecidae. The record is from RNAcentral.